GCCGCCCACCGCCCCGGACCUGUUCUCCGCUUCGGCGUGUCCUGGUGCUUGUGCUCGUGUCGGAGCGGCGGCUUGGGCUGGGCUCGGCCGUCGGGCGGCGGCAGGAGGAAAAGGCCAGCAAGGCUUUCCCCUCGGAUUGCCUCUCCCGGUCCCUCCGAGGCAGAACGCGACCAGAGCCCAGGGCUCUCUCCUCUCCGCAGGCGCCCGGGCAGCGCUGAGACAGGGGUUUGAUUUGAACGCGGAGCAGUGAGGAGCCGAGGCAGGAGUUAAUGAGGAAAGCAGGUAAAAAAGAGCAGAGAGAGAGGGAUGGGGAGACACGAGAUUGACACAUUCAGGCUGGAGUCAGAGGCAGAGUCCUGCGCCCAGUUAUUCACCACGCCAGUGUGAUUAAUUACCUCCAAAUACUCCGAGUGUGCACCACAGCAAAGAGGGUGGAAGAGUGACAAAAGAAAACGUGAUCACGUAAUUAAAGACUGUUACAAUUAAUGUGCACAAAAAGAAUAAACAGGCUGCGUAGAAGAUCUUAAAAAUAUUACUUCCUCGCUUCUCAGGGCUUGUAUUACCUGCUGUAUUUUUUUAGUAUUUUAAUAAAGUUCCAUCUCCGGAAAGCCCUAUCAGACUUUGGGCACUGUACAAUGGACAGAGCCCCUGCCCAGAGAUUUUACUGUUCCCAAGUUUUAUUUCAACAUAACAUAGUUGAAAGUUUAUGCCUUGAGCACAGCUUCCCACUCCCCCCUCCUCUUUAAUACAUAGGAGGUAGAACUUUUCCUACCAGAAAUACCAACUUCUACAUUUAGAUGAUUUUUUUUCCAAGAUUUGAGGUACCUGAAAUAUGAGUUCUGUGCCAAAUGGGUCCCACAGUUUACAUUUCUUUCAGCACAACGCAAAGCAAUUUAAAAUGCAGUGAAACCAUUUAAGCAAGCAACUAUGAACUUUGGGCUUUGCCCGUGCUCUCAGGAAUAACGGUCCUUUCAAACGCUGACUCACAGAGUGACCUCACAUCGCUUAGGAGACAAGUCUUAAAAUGAGGAGUCAGGCUUUAAUCACAGUUGACAUUUUAUUGGUGGCUUGGAAGAAUUUAUUUUUAAUAUAAGGAACCAGCUUGAAGACAUGCACUUCAAAAGAUUCUGAAGAAAGCAAUUAUGGGCAAAGUAGCUCUGCAUACACAUACACCAGAAAUCUAAAUACAGAGGGCAGUGGGUUGUCUCUUCAUGAAAGACAAAGCAACUAUUUUACAGCUUACAAGUGUCAUGUUGUCAGUGUUACACUAUCUAAAGCUUGCAAAAACGGAUUUUAAAAAACGCCGAAUAAUACAGCGUGGGGCCCAUCACCUUCAGGAACCCCCCUAACAAAGGAAGCGCGGGUGUCCCACCCCCCGAGGCGGUAACCCCACAUCUGCAAGGUGGGUCGGGCCCCACUUACUGCAGGGAUGUGUUUUUAAAGGUACUACAAGUGCCAGCAUGCAGCGCUGCACCGCAGCCCAGUGCUCCUACCUGCCAUGCUGGGACAUGCAGUCUUCAGAAACUACGUAUUAAUCCCAUCACUAGCAAACCGUUGCACCACUUACACUGUGUAUUAAUAUUAAAGUUGUUUGGGAAGUGUUCUCUGUGGGAGAGGGAAAUAGGAGAUUUCCAAGCCUCAUUCGCAGCAGUUUUCCUUCUUACUGCUCUUUGAGUUUGACAAGGCAGCAGCAUCUCAGGCAAAGGGAAAAGGUAAUUCUCUUUGUAAUUUCACAUCCAGUCCCAAGUAUUCCUACAUUCAGGCACAAAGCUGGGCACAGCCAGCAUAAUUUCUAACUCGGUGAUUUAUUCAAAGCUUUAUUUUAUAAAGCUUUGAAGUCAAUGGCUUUUCAGAGAACCUGCCAUUUAAAGCUGCAAAAUGAAGGCAGCAAGGAAUGAAUCAACUGCUACAGAAACCACGAGAAAGUUUUCCUGGAGAGUCUGACCCGAGAUGAGUUUUGAAUUCGUAUGAAAAUGCAGUUAAACUGAUGAGCUAUUCUAGUGAUUUUCUAAGAACAAAUAACUUCCUUGCAAAGGCAAUCCUCUUUAAGCCACUACAUUCAAUUUCCAUUAAGUGUUUUAGGGUAAGUUGAAACUAUAAAACUAAUCCAUGAAAAGAAAAAUGCUGGCUUUGUAAUAUUUCUCGUGUCUGUCUCCUGUUUAAAACUCAAAAUUGGGAAACAAAGUGACCAUAUUUAUAGAUAUUGGGAAGGGCUCUUAUGCAAAGUAUGUGUGGCAUUUAUUUACAUUUUUUUGCCACAGUGUUUUUGUUUAUAGCAAGGGGUCAGACUUGCAAAAUUCUCUGUAUUCUAACACAUCCAACCUAACAAAGCAGUCAAAGAGAAGUUUACUUCCAAGUAUGUUUAACUGUACUAUUCAAAACUUGCCACAUUUGGCCCCUGAAAUCUAGAGUAUUUCAGUGCCGUUGUGAUUUACCAGCUGAUAUUCAAAUGUUGGAGGAAGACUCAGAUCUCAGAAGCAGUUUAGCUGAGAUGGAUGACGGGGUGACAGUGCUCCUUGCAGCCUUCUGCUUCACCAGGGGUACAGCUAGCGCCAUGGAGCUCACAACACCAGCCUCUGCAAUUACCUUCAGGUAAGGUGGAGCCUCUCCUUGACUCCAUUUUUGUACUCUGCUGUGUGCAUUAUUUAUAGAUACAAAGCUGGUCUCUUUAAAGACUUCCCUAUCCAGACAUAGCUUGAUAGAGACUUUGGGUUAGAGUUCUUAAAAAGCAGCCCCCCCC
Molecule: long non-coding RNA, 2740 nt
Organism: Tyto alba (common barn owl)
Lineage: Eukaryota; Metazoa; Chordata; Aves; Strigiformes; Tytonidae
Exons: 2
Source: RefSeq, a predicted model, not a curated record